UAGCUCAGCUGGUUAGAGCCUGGUGCUAAUAACACCGAGGGCAUGGGUUCGAUCCCUGU
RNAcentral lists this transfer RNA (59 nucleotides) under Manacus vitellinus (golden-collared manakin). It matches the Rfam family "tRNA", at positions 8 to 63 of the family's 71-position model. Rfam says of the family: Transfer RNA (tRNA) molecules are approximately 80 nucleotides in length. Their secondary structure includes four short double-helical elements and three loops (D, anti-codon, and T loops). The record is from Rfam by way of RNAcentral. Lineage: Eukaryota; Metazoa; Chordata; Aves; Passeriformes; Pipridae.